Long non-coding RNA from Rosa rugosa (rugosa rose), 1127 nucleotides. RefSeq lists it as uncharacterized. The record is from RefSeq and is a predicted model, not a curated record. NCBI's taxonomy places the organism in Eukaryota, Viridiplantae, Streptophyta, Magnoliopsida, Rosales, Rosaceae. The transcript is spliced from 5 exons.
AUCUAUUAUCUAAAGGGCGUGGACUGUUCAUUCGCGUCUCAACUGUUCAUUCGAGCUCCAAUUGAAUGACGCUUUUGCCCUUCUCUUCUUCUUCUAAUUACGGGUUGCCAUGCUUCUAUACGUUUCCAGACGUCUCUAUAUGAGGCCGGUUUCCAGAAGUCUCUAUCUUGAGGCAAUAUAGAGAACCACAGUUGAUCCUUAUUAAACCAAGCGUUGCAACCGACCUCAUACUUUUCCGGAAAUCUCUAUCAAAAUCGAAAUCCAAUCUGAUAAUCCACCGACAUCAGCGAUUAAAUAUGAUUCAUCCUUUUCGGGCAGCCUCUAUCCAAAUCGAGCUUCAUAUUCAACCGACCUUGGCCGGGGAAUUGAAAUCAAGAACAUCGCUGGGAUAGGAAGAAGAAGAAGAAGAGACGUCCAAGAUUUUGGUCGACUUUAGGAGCAAAGUUUGGGUUUGUUUCGGAAAAGGUUGCUGCUAGAAUUUUGAUCGAGUUUGGGAGGAAGCUUUCAAUAGCCGUGUUCUUCGGGAAGCAUCUGUUUACACCGACCUCCACUGUUACACCCAAAUACCCAAAUCGUUGAUCCCAAUCGUGACACUACCAAUUCUUCGGUGUCGUCUACAGCCGUGUGAGAUGGUUGGAUUCUAUUCAAUCUUGAGCAUCAGAGCGCAAAUCAUCUAUUCCAUAAAAGAACCAGUGAGGCUAGAGAUGUGAUGCUUAGGAAGACAAAGGUGGAUCAGCAUUUUGAUUCAUUUGAUAAUCCUUCAGAUUGUGAGUGGGUGUGCUCAAGCUCAAUGGUAGAAUAAUACCCCCUUUAUUAACGUUCACAUAAAGCAAGCAAUGGUCACCCAUAAGUUAAAGAUAUUGAGAAAUAGCGUUCCACCAGUCAAUGUGUUGUAGGUUCAAAUUUUGUUAAAAGCCAGAUAGAGCAUUUUUAUAUUGAAGUGUAUGAUAUUGGACGCCCAAAAGGGUUGAAAGAAGGCUAUUUGUGUUAUGAGAUUUUUGUACUUGCAAUUCAAUUUGAAAACAUUUUCAUAUCAGAGAAAAGAAAGAAAAAAAAGAUCGAAGCUUUCACAUGACUGAUGAUUUGCCAUUUUUUCAUAUAUUUCAUCUCCCAUAUUGACUGCACAA